AUACGAAGGGGGCUAGCGUUGUUCGGAUUUACUGGGCGUAAAGCGCACGUAGGCGGAUUGAUUAGUUAGGGGUGAAAUCCCGAGGCUCAACCUCGGAACUGCCUCUAAAACUGUCAAUCUCGAGACCGGAAGAGGUGAGUGGAACUCCUAGUGUAGAGGUGGAAUUCGUAGAUAUUAGGAAGAACACCAGUGGAGAAGGCGGCUCACUGGUCCGGUACUGACGCUGAGGUGCGAAAGCGUGGGGAGCGAACAGGAUUAGAUACCCUAGUAGUCC
Molecule: ribosomal RNA, 274 nt
Filed under: uncultured bacterium
Lineage: Bacteria
Description: partial 16S ribosomal RNA
Rfam family: Bacterial small subunit ribosomal RNA
Source: RNAcentral